This 253-nucleotide ribosomal RNA is filed under the name uncultured bacterium. Its description in RNAcentral is "partial 16S ribosomal RNA". It matches the Rfam family "Bacterial small subunit ribosomal RNA", at positions 524 to 776 of the family's 1533-position model. The record is from RNAcentral.
UACAGAGGGUGCGAGCGUUAAUCGGAAUUACUGGGCGUAAAGGGCGCGUAGGCGGUUAUAUCAGUGUUAUGUGAAAGCCCUGGGCUUAACCUGGGAAGUGCAUAGCAAACAAUAUAGCUAGAGUAGAUGAGAGGGUGGUGGAAUUUCCGGUGUAGCGGUGAAAUGCGUAGAGAUCGGAAGGAACAUCGAUGGCGAAGGCAACCACCUGGCAUCAUACUGACGCUGAGGCGCGAUAGCGUGGGGAGCAAACAGG